AAGCUGCUAAGGCUUCCGCUCCUCACAGCGCGCGUUUGCACUGUGAGGGUAAGUCCUGUAAUGAAAGGCUCUGGCAUUUUUAUGGUUUCUGGUGUAAAUGUUGUUACAUAAGUUGUACAUGUCGAUGUAUAUAGGUUCAUAUUGAUGUUAGAAAGUUUCUGUGUAACUGAAACAAAGGCGGGUUGCUGUUAAAUAGUGUUUCUGCCGUAUUUAUGCUCUUUGGCAGUUAGUCUUUGUCAGCCCCCUAGUGGUUGCUGCGCAUAGCAGGAAAUGUGUUUGGAUGUACCGUUUUUCUGUGCUUUUUGUGAUGUUGUUUUACAUUGUAGGAGCUACAAUUGCUGUACCAUCAGAAGACACCUGUUGAGUGUGUUUUAUGUCUUCUGCAGGAAUAAAUCGUGAAAAGCCAAUCUUUCUGAGCGUCUGUGAUUUUUGAAGAGCUGGAAGUGUUACACUGGUGCCGUGACCAUUCGGAUCUUCAGAUCAGCUUGAUGCUCAUCGCCGUGGCUGCUGUUCUGCUCCCCUGCUGUUCACAAGUUGAAUGUGGGUUGUUGUAACCAAGUGAGUUUAGACUAAAAAAAAAAACCCCCAAAAACAAACAAAAAGGUGAGGGAUGUGAUUGAAAUAAGACAAGGGUGAAAGUGUCUGUGUUUUGAUAUACAACGUGUGGUUAUACGUUCAAAUUAUUUGGACAUUAUUAUUAUAAUUUUUUUUCUUCCCCUCGUUUUGCUGCUAUUAUACUGUUAUUUUUCUUAUUUUUAUCUACCUUUUUUAUUUUAUUUUAUUUUAUUUUUUUCUCUCCCUAACGGGGUGCACAUGCAGUUAUCAUCUUAAGUGUGUGACUUGACGAUGGAUAAAUUUGUCACUCCAGUACUACAUAAGGGUAGAGGUGCCGGACUAGUUCAUGCAGUUGACGCCAGUAAUGUCACACAGUUUGGUCCUGUGAGCAGUGACACUGGGCUAGGCCAAAGCCCGAGUUUUAUUCCCAUCGGUAGGGGUAUGGGUGAUAAGCCCCAGGUUUCCACUCCAAUUAGAGACAGUGAUGCUGUACACAGUUUUACUGACAUGGUUGAGCAAAUAGGAGCCCAGAUAGGUGAAUCCAUUGUUACUAAACUGUUGUCAGCUGGCGUUGUGAAUCUGACUGGUGACUCUAAGACUCAAACUGAGCAAUGUAACAGUACCGCUCGAGAUGUACCGCAUGUAACUGUCCAUGUUAAGCCCAAUAGGGAGCUUCAAGUUUUUAGGGGUGAUGGCACAAACAGAUGUUCGGUUCAGGACUGGAUUGACAUGGCAACAACCUAUCUAUGGAAGCAAGAGGUCCCCAUUCAUGGCCAGGCUGAUGAAAUUAUUAGCCACUUAAUCAGAAUCAGAAUACUUUAUUCAUCCCGAGGGAAAUUAGGGGUUACAGCAGGCAGCACGCUAAUGGCGCACGCGCACUCACAAAGGAACCUUCUGACCAACUUUACACAAACAUCACAUUGGGCAGACAUGUCAGAAGGUAGGCUGAUAGGAAAAAAACAACGAAAAUACACUACAUGAGGUAAGAGGAGGAGAAAAAAAAACUCCACUCAGACUGAGCUCCUAGUGGGAGAACAGUUUGAUAAAAGAAAAAACACCUCAGCACAAAAGCACAUGACUAUCAAUACACCAUAGAAACACGAGACAAGCAACAGGGGCGGGUAAAGGGUAAGAGAGAGCCGGCGUAGACAGCGCAUCCGGUCCUGCAGCAUCUGUGCUGGUCCAGUUGACUGCUAUCAUCCCCGGUAGGGCACAAGCAUCGAAGGCGUUGGAAAGGGAGGGGGAUGAGUGAGUGCUUAUCAGUGUAAGUGUGUGUGUGUGCGGGGAAGGCCAGAGAUGUGGUCAGAGUGGCUCUUCGUAGUGACCCAGGUCUUGAUGUCAAACAGAAACCUGAUCUGAUCUUUGGUGUUCUUCGCCAUUAUUUCAGUGAUUCUUCGUCGUGCCUCCCUCUUGCUGACUUCUAUGCAACACUCC
This is a long non-coding RNA of Astatotilapia calliptera (eastern happy), 1989 nucleotides long. The record is from Ensembl. NCBI's taxonomy places the organism in Eukaryota, Metazoa, Chordata, Actinopteri, Cichliformes, Cichlidae.